This is a long non-coding RNA of Salvia hispanica, 1559 nucleotides long. RefSeq lists it as uncharacterized. NCBI's taxonomy places the organism in Eukaryota, Viridiplantae, Streptophyta, Magnoliopsida, Lamiales, Lamiaceae. The record is from RefSeq and is a predicted model, not a curated record.
CUUUCCCUUCAAAAAUUCCCAAAUUGAGGGGAAAUCCCUAAUUUCCUUCUCUCUCCCUUCGCCUCAUUCUCACCGCCACCGUCGACGCCUCUCGCCGGAUUAUGAGCUCGAUCUCUCGGCUACUACACAGCACCGCCGCCAGCCGCCUGACGACGAGCCGGUGUCGCUGCUGUCGCGCAGCCGACUCUACGCCCAGCCGUUGCCCGUGUUGCAUCGUCGGAAGAGAGAAGAAGGCAUCGCUUCCCUCCGCACAGAGCUCCGACUGCCUCCGUGACUUCCUCUGUUCUCUAGAACGGAGUCGAUCAGUUCGGCUCCCUUCUUCGAGCUGCGGUUCUGCCCGUGAGCCACGCCGAUUCGUCGGCCAGUAGCUAAGUCCCUACCCUCUCUCUCUUAGUUCUUUUACAGUUAGCUAAAAGUUGGAUUUUUAGAAGGUUCAUGGUAUUAGAGUUGAACAGAUUAUGGUUUGAGGCUUGAAAACAUGACCUUUUCGGAAAUUUGCAUUCCAUGCUUUGAGUUUUAUGCGUACCAGUUAUGCUUGUGCUUUAUGUUCUAUACAUGAUAAGGUUAUUUCCCAUAUGAUCAUGUUGUGAUGUUCUAAGUGGGUGAAAAUGAGGUAUAAGGGUGAGUAUGUGCUACCUGAUUCCUUGUGGCUGGUGGUUGGAAAAAAAACUCCCACUUCUAAUGGUCUUUGAGAGGCAUAGCAACCUAUACUCACUCUCUACUCUCGGUUGUGAUUUGUGGGGGAGAAAGAAUGAAAUUUUGAGGUGGUGAGUGGUGAAGGGAAACAGAUAUUGAAGGGGAAAAACAUAUAUAUAAGCUGUUGCUGCAAUUUGUUGAGAUAUGGCAGAAAUCAAAUCUGCAUUUUUUUGGCUCUUUGUUCACAUUGAUUGGCUGUUUGUGGGGCAGUACAUAUGUUGUACUCGUGAAUCAAUAAAUGGGCUGAUCCUAUUGUGCAGCGAAUCCCCUCUUUGCAGCUCCUUAGUGUGCUUUGAACUUAAUUUAUUUUGGUGGCAUUUGGAGUACGAGAACUUGGGUAAAAACUCCCUUUUGUUUUCAUGUUGCAGAUAGAUCCUCCUUUUUAAGAUCAUCACUGUGCUUUUAAUUAAUACAUUCGUCUCUUUCUUGAAGCAUAAGUACUCCCUUCAUAAAAUCACUUGUUUGCUUAUUGCAGGGGUGGUAUUGUAGGGAAAAGUAGUCUGUGGGUGCUGUUUUGAGGAGUGGGUCUUGCAGGCAUUGACUUGCCUUCUUGGGUGAAUGAAAGGCUUGGCUGCCACGUUGCUGUCCGAGACUUGGGGUUGCUGCCUUGGGCUCGAUGGGCUGUUCGGAACGGGCCGUGAUUUGGGCUUGGGAGAAAGAGGCCCAAAGUCCAAGCAUAAUAAGACUUUAGUUUCUUAAACUCUUUUGGCACAUUCAUGGGUAUUUUGUAAUAGUAUAGUAUCACAUAUUCUUUUCUUUCCAUUCAAAAUUCAUACGUAAGAUGAUCAUGUAAGUUAAUGUAUUAUUCGAGAUGUAAGCGAACACUUUAGUUCGGAAGGGACGUCUUCACAUUCUUUUUCAAA